UCUCUCUAUAUAUUUUUCCAUCGGUCUUGGUGGGGAUAAAGGAGCAAAAGUAAUGCUGAAGCUGGUCUCACAGCCUUAUAAUCUGGUAUAUAGCACGUGGGCUGGUUGCAAACAAGG
Molecule: small nucleolar RNA, 117 nt
Filed under: Fukomys damarensis (Damara mole-rat)
Lineage: Eukaryota; Metazoa; Chordata; Mammalia; Rodentia; Bathyergidae
Description: Small nucleolar RNA SNORA61 (ENSFDAG00000004925.1)
Source: RNAcentral